ACAUACUCAAGUAUAGGCACAAAGGGGUCCAAAACUAACUUAAAACCCCAACAAACAACACAACUAAACACAUAAGCAUGCUUUGACCACAAAUCAACCAAAACCUCAACUUAUCCUACACAUGCAUCUCUACCCAUAAACCUCCAUAAAACCUUCAUAAAACAUGAAAAGAAGUUCAGGAUCUUCACUUACCUCUUACAAACAAGAAGAUCAAAGAUCCCAAUGUGGAGAUAUGGAGAAACUCUCCCUCAAAGUCUCCAACUUCAACACUUUUGGGUUGCUUAAAACCUUCAAAUAUGCAUAAAACUCAUCAAAACUUUGCAAGAUUUAAGAAAACAUGAAAAUCACCGAAGGAAGAUCAUGGUCUCACCUCUGGCUGUGAAGGGAAAGAAAAUCUUAUCCAUUCACCGACCUAGGGCCUUUUAUAGGUGGCUGGCCAGACCACCUGCGGCGGCAUAACGUGAAACCAAAACUCAUGCAUGUUCGGCGGCUGAACUUCACCUUCGGCGGCCGAACCUUGCAUUUCUUCCUUGGCUCUUUUCUUUCAAAAACUCAUUUCCUUUUACACUUAAAACAUUAACACAUACUAAAAUUCUUUAGAAAAACAUAUCUACUACCCUUCUCGAGGGUUCUGACAUCCGAGAUUCCACCGGAACGUAAAAUUCCGAUGCCGGACUCUAGCCGGGUAUUACAUUCUCUCCCCCUUAAGAACAUUCGUCCCCGAAUGUUCCACAACCAAUGAAACACAGAAAGAGGAGGAAACUAAUCUUAAAACAGAUAUGGAUAUUGCUGGAGCAUAGACUCCCAUGUCUCCCAGGUGCACUCUUCGAGAUUGUGGUGAUUCCAUAGGACUUUCACCAUUGGAAUUUCCUUGUUCCUCAGCUUUCUGAUCUGCGUGUCUAGGAUUCGUACUGGCUGUUCUAUAUAGGUGAGAUCUCCAAAGAUCUCCACAUCAGGCUCACCAAGAACCUUACUCGGAUCUGACACGAACUUUCAGAGCAUAGAAACAUAGAAAACCGGGUGAAUUCUCUCCAUAGAAGCAGGUAAAUCCAGCUUGUACGACACAUUCCCGAUCUUCUGCAAGAUCUCAAAGGGUCCAAUGUACGUGGGGCUAGCUUACCCUUUUUCCCAAACCGAACCACUCCUUUCAUUGGAGACACCUUCAGCAAUACCAUAUCGCCUUUUUGAAACUCUAUCUGCUUCCUGCGGAUAUCUGCAUAGCUUUUCUGUCUGCUUUGAGCAGUCUUGAUCCUCUCUCUGAUCAUGGGCACCACUCUGCUAGUGAUCUCUACUAGCUUCGGCCCUGCAAGAGCCGCCUCUCCUACUUCUUCCCAGCAAAUAGGUGAUCUGCACUUCCUCCCAUACAAAGCUUCAUAAGGGGUCAUCCCUAUGCUCGCAUGAUGGCUGUUAUUGUAAGCAAACUCCACCAAAGGUAGAUGCUGCCUCCAAGAACCGCCAAAGUCUAACACACACAUUCUGAGCAUAUCCUCUAUGGUCUGGACGGUCCUCUCUGACUGUCCGUCAGUCUGUGGAUGGAAAGCAGUGCUGAACUCCAACCUUGUACCCAUAGCACUUUGCAGACUCCACCAAAAUCUGGAGGUGAACUGAGGUCCUCUGUCUGACACUAUAGACACUGGAACUCCAUGCAACCUUACUGUCUCCUCCAAAUAAACUUGUGCUAACUUGUCCACAGAGUAGUUGCUCUUAACAGGGAUGAAAUGAGCAGAUUUCGUGAGUCUUUCCACAAUCACCCAUAUGGAGUCUAUCCUGUUGGACGCUGCCGGUAAGCCCACUACAAAAUCCAUAGCUAUAUUCUCCCAUUUCCACUCUGGAAUCGGCAGUGGGUUAAGCAUUCCAGCCGGCUUCUGAUGUUCCAGUUUCACCCUCUGGCAAACCUCACAAGCGGACACAAACUGUGCCACUUCUUUCUUCAUAGCUGGCCACAAAUACACUCUUUUCAGAUCCUGAUACAUCUUGGUGGCUCCAGGGUGAACACUGUACCUUGCAUUAUGAGCUUCUCUCAUAAUGUCUCCUUUCAAAUUGAUGUCAUCUGGUAUACAUAGUCGAUUCCCAUAGCGAAGGAUCCCUUUGUUGUCAAAUCUGAACGCUGCACUGUUGCCUGACUGAACAGUCCUGGCAAUUUUAACUAACUCAGGGUCCUCAUGCUGUUUCUGAGCCACCUGCUCCAGAAACACAGGAGUCACUCUCAUCUGUGCUAUCAACGCACCCGUAUCAGACACCUCUAGUUGUAGCCCUUCGUCGAUGAGCUUAUCAAACUCCAUCACCACUGGUCUUCUCUCUGCUGCUAUAUGGGACAAAUUGCCAAGUGAUUUCCGGCUUAGGGCAUCUGCCACAACAUUCGCCUUACCCGGAUGGUACUGGAUUCUGCAAUCAUAGUCACUGAGCAGUUCCACCCAUCUUUUCUGCCUCAAAUUCAGCUCUUUCUGACUCAAGAUGUAGUGUAAACUCUUAUGAUCUGUGAAGAUCUCGCAUUUAACCCCAUAAAGGUAAUGCCUCCACAUCUUGAGUGCAAAGAUAACUGCUGCCAUCUCUAGGUCAUGGGUGGGGUAAUUCAACUCAUGCUUCUUGAGCUGUCUAGAAGCAUAGGCAAUCACCCUGUUAUUCUGCAUCAGAACACAACCCAACCCCACUCUGGACGCAUCACAGAACACUGUGAAGUCCUCAUGACUGACAAGCAGAGCUAACACCGGUGCUGAUGUUAAUCUUCUCUUUAGCUCCUCAAAGCUCUCUUCACAUUGGUCCGACCACACGAACCUCUGAUUUUUCUGAGUCAGUUUGGUCAUAGGAGCAGCUAUCUUUGAGAAGUCCUGAACGAACCUCCUGUAGUAACCUGCCAAACCCAGAAAGCUUUUAAUCUCAGUCACUGUGGUGGGUCUAGGCCAGUUAACUACAACUUCUAUCUUCUUGGGGUCUACCUCAAUACCUUCUGCUGAUACAACAUGCCCCAAGAAGGCAAUGCUCCUCAACCAAAACUCACUCUUAGCGAACUUGGCAUACAACCCAUGCUCUCUCAGAGUCUGCAGAACUGUCCUCAGAUGCUGGGCAUGCUCCUCUGCAUCUCGGGAGUACACUAGGAUAUCAUCAAUGAAGACAAUAACAAAGUGAUCCAGAUACUCACUGAAAACUCUGUUCAUGAGAUCCAUGAAUGCUGCAGGGGCGUUAGUCAACCCGAACGGCAUUAUUAAGAACUCAUAAUGCCCAUAUCUGGUCCUGAAAGCUGUCUUUGACACAUCUGCUUCUCUGACUCUCAACUGAUGAUACCCGGACCUCAGAUCUAUUUUCGAGAAACAACCUGCUCCAGCUAGCUGGUCAAAUAGAUUGUCGAUCCUAGGCAGGGGAUACUUAUUCUUGGUCGUGACCUUGUUCAACUGCCUAUAGUCGAUACAAAGUCUGAGGGAUCCAUCCUUCUUUCUGACAAAUAGCACUGGAGCACCCUAAGGUGAGGUACUAGGGCGAAUGAAACCCUUAUCUCCCUAUCAGGUAGGGAGGAAUAGAGAUAGGUCUGGUCCCAGGCAGCAAUUCUAUUUCAAACUCUAUCUCCCUAUCAGGUGGUAGUCCUGGAAGCUCAUCUAGGAAGACGUCUAGAAAAUCUCGGACUACUGGUACUGCGGCUAGUUCCCUAACCUGUCUAUCUAGCUCUCUCACAUGAGCUAGAAACCCCUGACAACCCCUCCUAAGCAAACGACGAGCCUGAAGGGCUGAGAUCAAACCUCUAGGUGUCCCCUUCCUGUCUCCUCUGAAGACACACUCUGACCCAUCUUGGUCUCUAAGACUGACUACCUUGUCUCUGCAGUCCAAGGUAGCUCCAUAUGUAGAUAGCCAAUCCAUCCCUAGAAUGACAUCAAAAUCCGUCAAAUCUAGAACCACUAGGUCAGCUAGAAGGCAUCUACCUUCUAUGAACACUGGACUGAAGCGACAGACUGACACUGCCACUGAUGGGUCACAUUUGGGUCCACUGACCCAGAGAGGACACUCUAACUCAAAGAUCAUCAGACCCAAUCUCUCCACGGCUCUCGAAGCAAUAAAAGAGUGAGAAGCACCGGGGUCCAUCAGAGCAUACACAUCAGAACACCCAAUUAAGAGGUUACCUGACACCACUGUGUUCGAUGUGUUUGCCUCCUCUUGAGUCACAGUGAAGAUCCGUGCUGGGGCUACCAGACCUUCACCUCGGGAACCUGCUGUUGAAGAAGAGGCUGACCCUCUCCCUCUGCCUCUGCCACUACUCUGCGGUAUGGCUGGAGCUGCUGGCUAGAGCUGCUGGCUGUGCUACACUGCCCGAGCUCAUCUGCUGGGAUGGUGCCAUAAAGGUCGCCUGAGGACAUUCUCGUGAAAAAUGUCCCUCCUGCCCACACUUAUAACAGGCGGUAGAUCCCAACCGACAAACUCCUCUGUGCGGUCUCCCGCAUCUCAUGCAGACUGUACUGCCUGUGCUAGAGUUGGAGCCACUACCCAUUCUCAUACUCGACUUGAUCUUGUUCCAGAAAUUGCCUUUCUUAGCCUUAAACUUUUCUCCCUUCUUGCUGCCAGAAGCUGCUGCACUGGGGUCUUAGAACCCGAAGACUGUGCCACUUACUGUUUUACUGAUCCCUGAAUAAUGGCACUCGCCUCCAUCUUCCUUGCGGCAUCCACUAUAGAGUGGAAACUCUCUUUCUCUGCUGGAAGAAUCAAGGAGGAAUACCUGGGAUGCAGUCUCAUAGUAUAUCUCCUUGCCUUUUUCUGGUCAGUGUCAUAAGCCUGACUCACUUACUGAAGCAGAUCCAGGAACUUAUCUGUGUAUUCAUCUACACUCAUCUCCUCGGUCUGCCUCAAUUGCUCAAAUUCUACCACUUUCAACUCCCUGGAACUGUCAGGAAAAGCCCACCCUGCAAACUCAUUGGCGAACUCUCCCCAUGACAUGCUGUCCAACCUGGGGUCCACAUAAUUCUUGAACCACUCGCGAGCCUUCUUGCAUUUUAGUGUGAACCCUGCCAUCUCAAUGGCUCUGCUAUCAUCAGCUCCUAACUCAUCGGUUAUCAUCUUAACCGUUCUGAGGUACUCAAAUGGAUCAUCUCCCGUAUUGAAUUUGGGAGCAUCCAACUUCAGGUACUCUGUCAUUUUCACUUUGCUUCCCUCAGCUGAGCUAGGUUGAGGUACUUGGACAACUGGUGCUCCUGGUUCUGGUGGUGGAGAAGGUACUGAACUUGGCUCUGGGUAUGCUAUACUGGGAUGGAAAGGUGUGGGUGGAUACAUGGGAUAUGGUGGGUAAAAAGGAGGAUAAGGCAUAUAAGGCAUGUAGGUAGGAUAUAGGGUAAAACUCGAGAAAUCCGACGUGCCCCCCAUCGGAUACCCCGGGCCCUGUGGAAAGGGUGGAUAAUGGGGUGGAUAACCAAACCCUGAGGCCUGAGCGCCUCCCUGAGACUCUCCCAUACCCUCUUUCGACCUGCCCAUACCCAUACUUUCCUCUCUUGGCUGCUGAUCCACAUCCAUAGCCUCCCUCACUUCCUCUGAGCUCCCUCCUCUAUCCGCUCCUCUUCUGCUCUCGUCAAAAGACCUUCUAGGGUCCCUUGACAUACCCUCCCUGCUUGAUCUCUGAGACCUUGCCCGUGGCAACGCAGGAGGACGAGCAGCUGUACCCUCACUUUCUGGUGGGACUCCAGUCAAUCGUGCAGAUCGACGAGUUCCUCGCAUCUUAACUUUCUGGAAAACAAUACAUAACAGCACACAUCAGCAUAUAAAUAGCACAUAACAACAAUGCACAUGCAUAACGCAUAGCAUGACACCUCAGCGAAUAGACAGGACUCAACAUCCUAUCCUAGUGGACAUGCUUGCCUAUUGUGCUUGACCUACUAUAACCUCUAUGAGCCCGACACUCUCUAGCUAGGUUCGACCAUAUGAACCUAGGGCUCUGAUACCAAUCUGUAACGACCCGAAAAUCGGACCGCUACCGGCACUAGGAUCUAGGUCGACUUAAGGUCGUCGGGACCCAUAGCAAGCCUGCUAUACUCUCUGUGCACCUGUAAAAUCGCAUACAUGAUCAUACAUUUCCUGUAAAACAUAAAACUGAUUCUCUGAAUCAAGGCUCAACCUAUGUAUGCACUAUCUCUGUACUAUAAAACCCCUUACUAGAGCUUGCUCUAAACGGGUUCAACUCAUACUCUGUUAAGCCUGGUUUUCACAUACUGAGAAAAACAUUCAAAGCACAUAAAUAGACCAUGUAUACAAAAAGGAUUUACAACAUGGGUCAAGCACAAUACUCUACACUAUACACUACUAAACCAAUUCUUUACAAUACUACAUGUCCACACUAUGCUAUUACAAAAUUCUUUACUCUUCCUGUACCCUGCUGACUUUCCUCUGACUCAGAUCCUGCAAGACUGGGGUUAAAGGAGAGGGAUGAGCUAUACUAGCCCAGUGAGUAGAACAGAUAAAACAUGUAAAUCAAACAUGCUCACAUGGAAUGCAUCACAUCACAAGUAAAUCACCCAUCUCAGACGGACAGAUUCAAAAUUCCCUCUGUUCUGUGCCCGGCCCGCGAAGGAGCUACUUAGGACUUCUCUACGCACCCUAUGGUGCUCUGUGCCCGGCCCUCUCAGGGCUCCUCAGGACUUUACUCGGAGGGCUAGUGAAUCCAAAACUAUGUCCGAUCCGUACAAGCAUAAAAUAAUGCAAUGCGUCACAUUAGUGUAGGCUAGUGCACUCACCCUAUUACAUAUCAUGAUGCAUGGAACAUGCUCAAAGCAUUUAAUUUCUCAAUUUAAAACAUGAGGUUUAGUUCCACUCACCUCUGGCUGACUCUGAGCUGACUCUGACUACUCUGAAGCAGUGCUCACUGCUGCUCUCUUCGGUUCCUCUGGUCCGUUCCUACACAAGUGGACUCAAAUGAGGGACCAAACUAGCUCAAGAACAACUCUAGAAUACUCCCCAAAACCCCCCUAAAAACAGCAUAAAAGAAUCAAGAAAAACAUGCAAAAGAAGGCUAGACAGGGCACUUUCGGCGGCAGGUUCGGCGGCCGAAAGUCCCUUCCAGAGCCGAAACUCAAGCACUUUCGGCAGCACUUCGGCUGCUGAAAGUCCUCUCCAGAGACGAAAGUCCCUAAUCUUCGACGGCCGAAACCCUCCUCCAGAGCCGAAAGUCCAAACUUUCGGGGGCAAGCUUGGGCAAGCUUCGGCAGCCGAAACCACCUCCUUGCAUGUUUGGCGGUCGAACCUUCGUUCGGCGGCCGAACCUUCUUUCGGCGGCCGAAACUGGAUUCUCCAGUAAGGCAGAAACGUGUUCUGCUUCAUGCAAACCAACCCAAACUUCACUCAAACAUACAAACCACAACUCCACAAUCUGCAUAUACUCAAGUAUAGGCACAAAGGGGUCCAAAACUAACUUAAAACCCCAACAAACAACACAACUAAACACAUAAGAAUGCUUUGACCACAAAUCAACCAAAACCUCAACUUAUCCUACACAUGCAUCUCUACCCAUAAACCUCCAUAAAACCUUCAUAAAACAUGAAAAGAAGUUCAGGAUCUUCACUUACCUCUUACAAACAAGAAGAUCAAAGAUCCCAACAUGGAGAUAUGGAGAAACUCUCCCUCAAAGUCUCCAAC
RNAcentral lists this long non-coding RNA (7599 nucleotides) under Manihot esculenta (cassava). RNAcentral describes it as "long non-coding RNA (MESC_LNC003977)". The record is from RNAcentral. Lineage: Eukaryota; Viridiplantae; Streptophyta; Magnoliopsida; Malpighiales; Euphorbiaceae.